Molecule: ribosomal RNA, 465 nt
Filed under: Vreelandella stevensii
Lineage: Bacteria; Pseudomonadati; Pseudomonadota; Gammaproteobacteria; Oceanospirillales; Halomonadaceae
Description: partial 16S ribosomal RNA
Rfam family: Bacterial small subunit ribosomal RNA
Source: RNAcentral
CCUACGGGGGGCUGCAGUGGGGAAUAUUGGACAAUGGGGGCAACCCUGAUCCAGCCAUGCCGCGUGUGUGAAGAAGGCCCUCGGGUUGUAAAGCACUUUCAGUGAGGAAGAACGCCUGGUGGUUAAUACCCAUCAGGAAAGACAUCACUCACAGAAGAAGCACCGGCUAACUCCGUGCCAGCAGCCGCGGUAAUACGGAGGGUGCGAGCGUUAAUCGGAAUUACUGGGCGUAAAGCGCGCGUAGGUGGCUUGAUAAGCCGGUUGUGAAAGCCCCGGGCUCAACCUGGGAACGGCAUCCGGAACUGUCAAGCUAGAGUGCAGGAGAGGAAGGUAGAAUUCCAGGUGUAGCGGUGAAAUGCGUAGAGAUCGGGAGGAAUACCAGUGGCGAAGGCGGCCUUCUGGACUGACACUGACACUGAGGUGCGAAAGCGUGGGUAGCAAACAGGAUUAGAUACCCUUGUAGUC